Prionailurus viverrinus (fishing cat) is the source of this 273-nucleotide long non-coding RNA. RefSeq lists it as uncharacterized. NCBI's taxonomy places the organism in Eukaryota, Metazoa, Chordata, Mammalia, Carnivora, Felidae. The record is from RefSeq and is a predicted model, not a curated record. The transcript is spliced from 3 exons.
AGGGAUUGUGUGGUUCCCCCCUUCUCUCUGACACUCCCUUCAUGUUUCCUGACACUCAGUAGCUCCAACAACGUGAUGAAUAAGUGAAUAAAUGAGUGAAAGAGUGGCAAGGUUACCAGAAAAGUCCGGAAAAAACACUGAUUGGAUUCAAGGCCUGAUGAUGCAGAAAGAAAGAGAACACAGAGGUGCCGCAAGAAAUGAUGAAAAUGUCAGUAGUUAGACCCUUGAGUGGUGAUGACGUAACCCUCCUGGCCUACACAUGAGAAGGCAAUG